AGAGUUUGAUCAUGGCUCAGGACGAACACUGGCGGCACGCUUAACACAUGCAAGUCGAACGAGAGAAGAGGAGCUUGCUUUUCUGAUCUAGUGGCGGACGGGUGAGUAACACGUGAGCAAUCUGCCUUUCAGAGGGGGAUACCGAUUGGAAACGAUCGUUAAUACCGCAUAACAUAAUUGAACCGCAUGAUUUGAUUAUCAAAGAUUUAUCGCUGAAAGAUGAGCUCGCGUCUGAUUAGCUAGUUGGUAAGGUAACGGCUUACCAAGGCGACGAUCAGUAGCCGGACUGAGAGGUUGAUCGGCCACAUUGGGACUGAGACACGGCCCAGACUCCUACGGGAGGCAGCAGUGGGGAAUAUUGCACAAUGGAGGAAACUCUGAUGCAGCGAUGCCGCGUGAGGGAAGAAGGUUUUAGGAUUGUAAACCUCUGUCUUCAGGGACGAAAAAAGACGGUACCUGAGGAGGAAGCUCCGGCUAACUACGUGCCAGCAGCCGCGGUAAUACGUAGGGAGCGAGCGUUGUCCGGAAUUACUGGGUGUAAAGGGAGCGUAGGCGGGAUCGCAAGUCAGAUGUGAAAACUAUGGGCUUAACCCAUAAACUGCAUUUGAAACUGUGGUUCUUGAGUGAAGUAGAGGUAAGCGGAAUUCCUAGUGUAGCGGUGAAAUGCGUAGAUAUUAGGAGGAACAUCAGUGGCGAAGGCGGCUUACUGGGCUUUAACUGACGCUGAGGCUCGAAAGCGUGGGGAGCAAACAGGAUUAGAUACCCUGGUAGUCCACGCCAUAAACGAUGAUUACUAGGUGUGGGGGGACUGACCCCUUCCGUGCCGCAGCAAACGCAAUAAGUAAUCCACCUGGGGAGUACGACCGCAAGGUUGAAACUCAAAGGAAUUGACGGGGGCCCGCACAAGCAGUGGAGUAUGUGGAUUAAUUCGAAGCAACGCGAAGAACCUUACCAGGUCUUGACAUCGUAUGCAUAGCUCAGAGAUGAGUGAAAUCUCUUCGGAGACAUAUAGACAGGUGGUGCAUGGUUGUCGUCAGCUCGUGUCGUGAGAUGUUGGGUUAAGUCCCGCAACGAGCGCAACCCUUACUGUUAGUUGCUACGCAAGAGCACUCUAGCAGGACUGCCGUUGACAAAACGGAGGAAGGUGGGGAUGACGUCAAAUCAUCAUGCCCCUUAUGACCUGGGCCUCACACGUACUACAAUGGCUGUCAACAGAGGGAAGCAAAGCCGCGAGGUGGAGCGAACCCCUAAAAGCAGUCUUAGUUCGGAUUGUAGGCUGCAACCCGCCUACAUGAAGUCGGAAUUGCUAGUAAUCGCAGAUCAGCAUGCUGCGGUGAAUACGUUCCCGGGCCUUGUACACACCGCCCGUCACGCCAUGGGAGUCGGUAACACCCGAAGCCUGUAGUCUAACCGCAAGGAGGACGCAGUCGAAGGUGGGAUUGAUGACUGGGGUGAAGUCGUAACAAGGCA
RNAcentral lists this ribosomal RNA (1470 nucleotides) under metagenome. Its description in RNAcentral is "bacterial SSU rRNA". It matches the Rfam family "Bacterial small subunit ribosomal RNA". The record is from RNAcentral.